AGAUGUGAGAGUGAUCUGGAUGUGAUGUCUGUCACCCCAUCGAUCACCACACAGUUGAUUCGGCUGAUCUGGCUGGCUAGGCGGAUGUCCCCUUCUUCCCUCACUGCUCCAUUUGCGUCCCUCCCGAAGCUGCAUGUUUGCUGGAAAAGGAUUACCUUCCCUGAUAGAGAAGGACCAUUCUUCAGUAAAGGGUAUAUGAAUAGCUUGUGCUCCCCUGCUAGAACCUCCAAAGAAGCUCUCAAAAUAAAGGUAGGGCCAUGUUCCCUCUGAAUGGUCUAGGGAAGAAUCUGUUCCAUGCUUCUUUCUUAGCUUCUUAUGGUUGCCAGCAAUCCUUGGCA
Molecule: small nuclear RNA, 338 nt
Filed under: Propithecus coquereli (Coquerel's sifaka)
Lineage: Eukaryota; Metazoa; Chordata; Mammalia; Primates; Indriidae
Description: 7SK RNA (ENSPCOG00000001447.1)
Rfam family: 7SK RNA
About the family: 7SK was discovered as an abundant small nuclear RNA in the mid-70s but a possible function has only recently been suggested. Two independent studies have found that 7SK RNA binds the CDK9/cyclin T complex (known as elongation factor P-TEFb).
Source: Rfam by way of RNAcentral